AGUUGAAACAACUUAAAACUUUUCUGUUCUCUUAACGAUUCAAACAGUUAUAAUUGUACAUGGCUUAGAAGUUAAGAGUAAAUACUGCUUUCUUAAUUAUGAUUUUUGAGUAAAUGUUUUUUUUCCGAGCUCCGCAUGUGUACGUCAUGACGUCAUGACGUUUUCUCUCUAACCUGAACGACGUUGACAGAAAAUUCUGUUCAAUAUGGCUGCCCUUCUCGAGCGACUGGAGAGCACAUUUGGAGAAACUUGCUGAAGACCGAAGAAAGAAACUUCAGACUGCAAGUAAUUUCAGGUGGAGACAGUAAACACAGAUCUACCAAGGGUCAGUGGCACAGUUCACCUUUUGUGGUAAGUUAUAACACUUCAUAUGUGGUCACAUAAGUAAGUUGUUUCAUCAGUUGUUCAGUUCUUAUAAAAUGUUGUAUAAUUGUACCAAAUCACUGAGGAUACAUCCAAUGUGUAAAUCACAAUCAACAAUUUUACUGUGAUAUUCGCUCGUGUUUAGAGAAUCUCCAUUAUCUUUGUUACUGAGUUUCCAUUUUUGUAGGGCCAAAUUUGUAUUAAAAAUUAAUAUUUUCAUAUGAUGUGAAAUGACUCAAUCAUUUCUAAUUUUUAGAAGAAAC
Long non-coding RNA from Haplochromis burtoni (Burton's mouthbrooder), 626 nucleotides. RefSeq lists it as uncharacterized. The transcript has 3 exons. The record is from RefSeq and is a predicted model, not a curated record. Lineage: Eukaryota; Metazoa; Chordata; Actinopteri; Cichliformes; Cichlidae.